GAGGUGAAACGUCUUCAAGAUGUCCAGCUGCCUUUGGAAUCGAGCAUCGGUUUACCUCGACCUGGAUGACUGAGACCCGACACAGACAUCUUGCAGUGAAAGCAGGCAGCUCUCUGUUUCUCACCACACAUUAUUAUUUCUUCGGCGAUGUGAGAAGCCUGACUCAUCAGCUUGGCCUUUAAAAAGUUUGUUCACAAGACGGAUCGAGAUGAUCAAACUCAGGUCAGUAUUCACUCUAAAUAUUUUCUGGCUGUGUUUAAAUAAAAGCAUGAAUCAUUACGGACUGUUUCAGGAAAGUUUGUCCUCAAAAAAAAAAAAAAUCCACACCAACACGAUUUAUCUUAAGAUCCUAUUUAUUUGUAGUGCAAAAGUGGAACAGACAGGACUACAAAUGUUUGACUUGCCUCUGAUUCCCUGUGUGACGAAUGCUACGCUAUCAUCUACAAACCCCAUCGUAUAUGAUACAAACACAAAGUACUACUUCACCCU
This is a long non-coding RNA of Labrus mixtus (cuckoo wrasse), 489 nucleotides long. RefSeq lists it as uncharacterized. Lineage: Eukaryota; Metazoa; Chordata; Actinopteri; Labriformes; Labridae. The record is from RefSeq and is a predicted model, not a curated record. The transcript has 2 exons.